UACGUAGGUGGCAAGCGUUGUCCGGAUUUACUGGGCGUAAAGAGCGCGCAGGCGGUCGAUCAAGUCGAGUGUGAAAGCCCCCGGCUCAACUGGGGAGGGUCACUCGAUACUGAUCGACUCGAAGGCAGGAGAGGGUAGUGGAAUUCCCGGUGUAGUGGUGAAAUGCGUAGAUAUCGGGAGGAACACCAGUGGCGAAGGCGACUACCUGGCCUGUUCUUGACGCUGAGGCGCGAAAGCUAGGGGAGCAAACGGG
This 253-nucleotide ribosomal RNA is filed under the name uncultured bacterium. RNAcentral's name for it is "partial 16S ribosomal RNA". It matches the Rfam family "Bacterial small subunit ribosomal RNA", at positions 524 to 776 of the family's 1533-position model. The record is from RNAcentral.